GCCUGCGUGGCUGAGUGGUUGAGCGUCUGCCUUUGGCGCAGGUGGUGAUCCUGGGGUCUUGGGAUGGAGUCCCGCUGCAGGCU
RNAcentral lists this transfer RNA (83 nucleotides) under Canis lupus familiaris (dog). It matches the Rfam family "tRNA". From Rfam's summary of the family: Transfer RNA (tRNA) molecules are approximately 80 nucleotides in length. Their secondary structure includes four short double-helical elements and three loops (D, anti-codon, and T loops). Further hydrogen bonds mediate the characteristic L-shaped molecular structure. tRNAs have two regions of fundamental functional importance: the anti-codon, which is responsible for specific mRNA codon recognition, and the 3' end, to which the tRNAs corresponding amino acid is attached (by aminoacyl-tRNA synthetases). tRNAs cope with the degeneracy of the genetic code in two manners: having more than one tRNA (with a specific anti-codon) for a particular amino acid; and 'wobble' base-pairing, i.e. permitting non-standard base-pairing at the 3rd anti-codon position. The record is from Rfam by way of RNAcentral. RNAcentral also lists the same sequence under 1 other name. Lineage: Eukaryota; Metazoa; Chordata; Mammalia; Carnivora; Canidae.